GACGAACGCUGGCGGCGUGCUUAACACAUGCCAGUCGAACGGAAAGGCCCUGCUUUUGUGGGGUGCUCGAGUGGCGAACGGGUGAGUAACACGUGAGUAACCUGCCCUUGACUUUGGGAUAACUUCAGGAAACUGGGGCUAAUACCGGAUAGGAGCUCCUGCUGCAUGGUGGGGGUUGGAAAGUUUCGGCGGUUGGGGAUGGACUCGCGGCUUAUCAGCUUGUUGGUGGGGUAGUGGCUUACCAAGGCUUUGACGGGUAGCCGGCCUGAGAGGGUGACCGGCGACAAUGGGACUGAGAGACGGACCAGACUGCAACGUGAGGCAGCAGGGGGGAAUAUUGCACAAUGGGCGGGAGCCUGAUGCAGCAGCGCCGCGUGCGGGAUGACGGCCUGCGGGUUGUAAACCGCUUUCGCCUGUGACGAAGCGUGAGUGACGGUAAUGGGUAAAGAAGCACCGGCUAACUACGUG
RNAcentral lists this ribosomal RNA (468 nucleotides) under uncultured bacterium. Its description in RNAcentral is "partial 16S ribosomal RNA". It matches the Rfam family "Bacterial small subunit ribosomal RNA", at positions 28 to 507 of the family's 1533-position model. The record is from RNAcentral.